RNAcentral lists this ribosomal RNA (228 nucleotides) under uncultured bacterium. RNAcentral's name for it is "partial 16S ribosomal RNA". It matches the Rfam family "Bacterial small subunit ribosomal RNA", at positions 103 to 334 of the family's 1533-position model. The record is from RNAcentral.
CGGGUGAGUAACACAUCGGAACGUAUCCAUAAGUGGGGGAUAGCCCGGCGAAAGCCGGAUUAAUACCGCAUACGAUCUAUGGAUGAAAGCAGGGGAUCGCAAGACCUUGCGCUUUAGGAGCGGCCGAUGUCCGAUUAGCUAGUUGGUAGGGUAAAGGCCUACCAAGGCGACGAUCGGUAGCUGGUCUGAGAGGACGACCAGCCACACUGGGACUGAGACACGGCCCAG